CCGAGCAGGGUCUAGGUAAAGCCUGGCUUUUUGGUCAAGUUGAACCUAGGCUCAGUGAGGUGGACUAAGUCGUCACAAGGUAGCCGUAGGGGAACCUGCGGCUGGAUCACCUCCU
This 115-nucleotide ribosomal RNA is filed under the name Candidatus Woesearchaeota archaeon. Its description in RNAcentral is "partial 16S ribosomal RNA". It matches the Rfam family "Archaeal small subunit ribosomal RNA", at positions 1362 to 1478 of the family's 1478-position model. Lineage: Archaea; Nanobdellati; Candidatus Woesearchaeota. The record is from RNAcentral.